This is a long non-coding RNA of Nannospalax galili (Upper Galilee mountains blind mole rat), 945 nucleotides long. RefSeq lists it as uncharacterized. The record is from RefSeq and is a predicted model, not a curated record. The transcript is spliced from 3 exons. NCBI's taxonomy places the organism in Eukaryota, Metazoa, Chordata, Mammalia, Rodentia, Spalacidae.
UUGCUGUGAGAGACAGAUAUAUAACCUAUCUACAGAAACUUCCGCCUUACUGUUAUAGUAGGAGAGGGACCCUCCAAGCUGCAAACACAGUUGUGGACUUCAGUAGGACUCGGCACUAGUGGCACACCAUCAUGUCCUGCAUAUUUAGAAUGGAAUUCUGGGAUUUGGAGGCAGACUCAGAUGUGACCCUCCUCUAGCCCACCCUUGGCCUCCUGGGAGAGAUGAUGGAGAAUUUGGGACACUGCAUUUGAACUCCAAGACUCUGAGAUUGGUUAACGUUGAAAGAGACAAGGGAAGCUGGUGUAAGAACUGAGCACCUACUAAAUACCAGGUUUGCAGGAGUUGAAAGCAGAGUCUGAUGCCAAGAAGCCUUCGAAGGAGGAUUUCCAUGCAGUGAGAUCCAGUUACCUAGUCCCUAAUGAAGAAUGAAGAAAUAUCUUGGGGCAGCAAGUCCUAUACUUGGAUCUAAAACAAUGAACUCAGUGGGGAUGCUGGACUUGUAGCUCUUUGAAUGCACUAACUUUACCCACCCAUACAGGAGCCAUGGAUCAUUUUAGACAGACAGGCAACUGGAAAAAAAAUUCUGGGGUAUUAAGGGGCCCCCAAAGUCUCAGUGGUGUGGUGUUUUAUUUGGAAUAAACAAUACAAUGAAAGAGGCUGUGCCUACAAACCCCUGUGGUAAUAGUAUACCCAGAGAGGGACUGUUUAAAGAGAAAUCAAAGUAUGUCUUAAGUCAGUUCUGACUUCUGAAGCAGGAGUCCCAGUAAAGCCCAGAUCAUGAAAAUGUUGCCACUGAAACCACUGUGGCUGAACUUUCUGUAAGAUGGCCUUGUGCUUGGAGGACCUCUCUGUGCAUGUGAGCUUAACCAACAUGUGAGGAAAUGGCCCCGUGACUCUUGUGUGUAGCCCAAAAUCUCAUAAUUGUUGUGUUCUACAGUGGUCAUA